This 73-nucleotide transfer RNA is filed under the name Bos taurus (domestic cattle). It matches the Rfam family "tRNA". From Rfam's summary of the family: Transfer RNA (tRNA) molecules are approximately 80 nucleotides in length. The record is from Rfam by way of RNAcentral. Lineage: Eukaryota; Metazoa; Chordata; Mammalia; Artiodactyla; Bovidae. RNAcentral also lists the same sequence under 1 other name.
UUCCUGGCGGUCCAGUGGUUAGAACUCUGUGCUUUCACUGCCAAGGGCCCAGGUUCAAUCCCUGGCCAGGGAA